AAUCAGUUAUGGUUCCUUAGAUCGUUCAUACUACAUGGAUAACUGUGGUAAUUCUAGAGCUAAUACAUGCAAAAAGCUCCGACCGUAUGGGAAGAGCGCUUUUAUUAGACCAAAACCAAUGGGGUCGCAAGAUCCCUUUGUAUGGUGACUCUGGAUAACUUUGUGCUGAUCGCAUGGCCUAGAGCCGGCGACGUAUCUUUCAAGUGUCUGCCCUAUCAACUUUCGAUGGUAAGCGAUUUGCCUACCAUGGUUGUAACGGGUAACGGGGAAUCAGGGUUCGAUUCCGGAGAGGGAGCAUGAGAAAUGGCUACCACAUCUACGGAAGGCAGCAGGCGCGCAAAUUACCCACUCCUAGAACGGGGAGGUAGUGACGAAAAAUAACAAUACCGGACUCAAUGAGGCUCGGUAAUUGAAAUGAGUACAGUUUAAAACCCUUAACGAGGAUCUAUUGGAGGGCAAGUCUGGUGCCAGCAGCCGCGGUAAUUCCAGCUCCAAUAGCGUAUAUUAAAGUUGUUGCAGUUAAAAAGCUCGUAGUUGGAUCUCGGGUACUAGCAUGUGGUACGCUUAACUGCUGUUACUACAUGUCUGGUCCUAAUCAACCGGUUGGCCGUUGAUGCCCUUUAUUGGGUGUUUUCGGUAGCCGGUACGUUUACUUUGAGAAAAUUAGAGUGCUUAAAGCAGGCCUUACGCCUGAAUAAUGUUGCAUGGAAUAAUAGAAUAGGACCUCGGUUCUAUUUUGUUGGUUUUGUAGAGCAUUGAGGUAAUGAUUAAUAGGGACAGACGGGGGCAUUCGUAUUGCGGUGUUAGAGGUGAAAUUCUUGGAUCG
This 826-nucleotide ribosomal RNA is filed under the name Brachionus quadridentatus cluniorbicularis. RNAcentral describes it as "SSU rRNA". It matches the Rfam family "Eukaryotic small subunit ribosomal RNA", at positions 104 to 927 of the family's 1831-position model. Lineage: Eukaryota; Metazoa; Rotifera; Eurotatoria; Ploima; Brachionidae. The record is from RNAcentral.